RNAcentral lists this ribosomal RNA (301 nucleotides) under uncultured bacterium. RNAcentral describes it as "partial 16S ribosomal RNA". It matches the Rfam family "Bacterial small subunit ribosomal RNA", at positions 509 to 808 of the family's 1533-position model. The record is from RNAcentral.
CAGUAGCCGCGGUAAUACGUAGGGUGCAAGCGUUAUCCGGAAUUAUUGGGCGUAAAGAGUGCGUAGGUGGUCUACUAAGCGCGAGGUGAAAGGCAAUGGCUCAACCAUUGUUAGCCUUGCGAACUGGCAGACUUGAGUGCAAGAGAGGAAAGCGGAAUUCCUAGUGUAGCGGUGAAAUGCGCAGAUAUUAGGAGGAACACCGGCGGCGAAGGCGGCUUUCUGGAUUGUAACUGACACUGAGGCACGAAAGCGUGGGUAGCAAACAGGAUUAGAUACCCGGGUAGUCCAUGUCUCUUAUACA